This 615-nucleotide ribosomal RNA is filed under the name uncultured bacterium. RNAcentral's name for it is "bacterial SSU rRNA". It matches the Rfam family "Bacterial small subunit ribosomal RNA", at positions 65 to 692 of the family's 1533-position model. The record is from RNAcentral.
AACGGACUCAUAUUGAACCUAGUGAUUUAUGAGUUAGUGGCGGACGGGUGAGUAACGCGUGGAAAACCUGCCGUAUACCGGGGGAUAACACUUAGAAAUAGGUGCUAAUACCGCAUAAGCGCACAGCUUCGCAUGAAGCAGUGUGAAAAACUCCGGUGGUAUAUGAUGGUUCCGCGUCUGAUUAGCUAGUUGGCGGGGUAACGGCCCACCAAGGCAGCGAUCAGUAGCCGGCCUGAGAGGGUGAACGGCCACAUUGGGACUGAGACACGGCCCAAACUCCUACGGGAGGCAGCAGUGGGGAAUAUUGCACAAUGGGGGAAACCCUGAUGCAGCGACGCCGCGUGAGUGAAGAAGUAUUUCGGUACGUAAAGCUCUAUCAGCAGGGAAGAAAAUGACGGUACCUGACUAAGAAGCCCCGGCUAACUACGUGCCAGCAGCCGCGGUAAUACGUAGGGGGCAAGCGUUAUCCGGAUUUACUGGGUGUAAAGGGAGCGCAGACGGCAGCGCAAGUCUGGAGUGAAAUGCCGGGGCCCAACCCCGGAACUGCUUUGGAAACUGUGCAGCUUGAGUGCGGGAGAGGUAAGUGGAAUUCCUAGUGUAGCGGUGAAAUGCGUA